Molecule: microRNA, 20 nt
Filed under: Ciona intestinalis (vase tunicate)
Lineage: Eukaryota; Metazoa; Chordata; Ascidiacea; Phlebobranchia; Cionidae
Description: cin-miR-4001g-3p
Source: miRBase by way of RNAcentral
UGGAACUUAUUUUGGACAGG